AACCAUAGAAACCUGCGGAGUACCUGCGGAGGGAUCAUUAUAGUAUAUGGAAUCUCCAUUCUAUAAACCCACUCUGCGUAUCUUGUAACUGUUGCUUCCAUGGGACUUGGUUCCGCCACACCGGCUUCACGGCUGGUGAGCGCCCAUGGAAGGAGAAACAAAACUCUUCUUUGAAAUGUAGUCAGUCUGAACAAGUUUUAUAAACGUUAAAACUUUCAACAACGGAUCUCAGAUCGGAAG
This 240-nucleotide unclassified non-coding RNA is filed under the name soil metagenome. Its description in RNAcentral is "partial contains 5.8S ribosomal RNA, internal transcribed spacer 2, and large subunit ribosomal RNA". The record is from RNAcentral.